CCUACGGGUGGCAGCAGUGGGGAAUAUUGCACAAUGGGGGAAACCCUGAUGCAGCGACGCCGCGUGAGUGAAGAAGUAUUUCGGUAUGUAAAGCUCUGUCAGCAGGGAAGACAAUGACGGUACCUGACCAAGAAGCCCCGGCUAACUACGUGCCAGCAGCCGCGGUAAUACGUAGGGGGCAAGCGUUAUCCGGAUUUACGGGGUGUAACGGGAGCGUAGACGGCAGGGCAAGUCUGGAGUGAAAGGCGGGGGCACAACCCCCGGACUGCUCUGGAAACUGCCAGGCUGGAGUGCAGGAGAGGAAAGUGGAAUUCCUAGUGUAGCGGUGAAAUGCGUAGAUAUUAGGAGGAACACCAGUGGCGAAGGCGGCUUACUGGACUGUAACUGACGUUGAGGCUCGAAAGCGUGGGGAGCAAACAGGAUUAGAUACCCCGGUAGUC
Molecule: ribosomal RNA, 440 nt
Filed under: uncultured bacterium
Lineage: Bacteria
Description: partial 16S ribosomal RNA
Rfam family: Bacterial small subunit ribosomal RNA
Source: RNAcentral